GUACUGCUGAAGAGUCUUAGACUAGGACGAAACAGCUGUCAGUAC
Molecule: non-coding RNA, 45 nt
Filed under: Trichobilharzia regenti
Lineage: Eukaryota; Metazoa; Platyhelminthes; Trematoda; Strigeidida; Schistosomatidae
Source: RNAcentral